RNAcentral lists this ribosomal RNA (487 nucleotides) under uncultured bacterium. RNAcentral's name for it is "bacterial SSU rRNA". It matches the Rfam family "Bacterial small subunit ribosomal RNA", at positions 139 to 646 of the family's 1533-position model. The record is from RNAcentral.
AGGGAUAACAUUUGGAAACGAAUGCUAACACCCCAUAUGCCUUUAAGACAAAAGUCUGCAAGGGAAAUAUUUAUAGCUCUAGGAUCGGCCUGUACGGUACCAGCUAGUUGGUGAGGUAAUGGCUCACCAAGGCAAUGACGCCUAACUGGUUUGAGAGGAUGAUCAGUCACACUGGAACUGAGACACGGUCCAGACUCCUACGGGAGGCAGCAGUGGGGAAUAUUGCACAAUGGGGGAAACCCUGAUGCAGCAACGCCGCGUGGAGGAUGACACAUUUCGGUGCGUAAACUCCUUUUAUAUCCCAAGAUAAUGACGGUAGGAUAUGAAUAAGCACCGGCUAACUCCGUGCCAGCAGCCGCGGUAAUACGGGGGGUGCAAGCGUUACUCGGAGUCACUGGGCGUAAAGAGCGUGUAGGCGGGUUAAUAAGUUUGAAGUGAAAUCCUAUGGCUCAACCAUAGAACUGCUUUGAAAACUGUUAACCUAGAA